AAUGAACGUUGGCGGCGUGGAUUAGGCAUGCAAGUCGAGCGAUGAAGUUCCAGCUUGCUGGAGCGGAUUAGCGGCGAAAGGGAGAGUAACGCGUAGGUAUGUACCCCCGGGUCUGGGAUAGCGGCGGGAAACUGCCGGUAAUACCGGAUAAUGUCCCCGGACCAAAGGUGUGAUUCCGCCUGGGGAGCGGCCUGCGUCCUAUUAUGGUUGUUGGUGGGGUAAUGGCCUACCAAGCCUAAGAUGGGUACCGGGUGUGAGAGCAUGGCCCGGCUCACUGGGACUGAGACACUGCCCAGACACCUACGGGUGGCUGCAGUCGAGAAUCUUCCGCAAUGGGCGCAAGCCUGACGGAGCGACGCCGCGUGCGGGAUGAAGGCCUUCGGGUUGUAAACCGCUGUCAGAGAGGCGGAAAUGCAUAGGGGCUAAUCUCCUAUGUUUGACCUAAUCUCAGAGGAAGCGC
RNAcentral lists this ribosomal RNA (460 nucleotides) under uncultured bacterium. RNAcentral's name for it is "bacterial SSU rRNA". It matches the Rfam family "Bacterial small subunit ribosomal RNA", at positions 28 to 493 of the family's 1533-position model. The record is from RNAcentral.